UACGUAGGUGGCAAGCGUUGUCCGGAUUUACUGGGCGUAAAGGAUGCGUAGGCGGACAUUUAAGUCAGAUGUGAAAUACCCGAGCUUAACUUGGGUGCUGCAUUUGAAACUGGGUGUCUAGAGUGCAGGAGAGGUAAGUGGAAUUCCUAGUGUAGCGGUGAAAUGCGUAGAGAUGUGGAGGAACACCAGUGGCGAAGGCGACUCUUUGGCCUGUAACUGACGCUGAGGCGCGAAAGCGUGGGGAGCAAACAGG
This 253-nucleotide ribosomal RNA is filed under the name uncultured bacterium. Its description in RNAcentral is "partial 16S ribosomal RNA". It matches the Rfam family "Bacterial small subunit ribosomal RNA", at positions 524 to 776 of the family's 1533-position model. The record is from RNAcentral.